AAUCACUUAAAAAAAAAUCAAAACAAAACAAAACUUCCUUCCCUUCUCAUUCGGCUGAACCAAAAAAAAAGGGCUCCUCAUUCAAUCGUCCCUUUUGCUUCUCUCCUUGGCCGAUCAUAGGUUUCAUCGGUGUCUCAUGCGCCUCUACCUAUCGUGGCUCAUGGCUCGGGAACAAAGGAGACGAGAGGCGUCCCUUGGUCCAAAUCCAUGCCGUUGAAAGGGUCUCCGAUGGCCGAAACCGCGGGUAGGUUCCCUUCCCCGACCUCAAAAAGGUCUUCAAGGAGGAUGAGAGCAGGUGGAGGAGAGGUGGUGCAAGUGGAGGCACCUAGGGUUUGCUGCUUCCUUGUUUUUUUUCUGCUAGUGGUUUGGGCUAGGGUAGGCUGGGUAUUAAUGGGCCCGGGUAAAUUUGGGUACUUACCUUAAUAAUUUAAAAUGUUUUUUUCUUAAAGUAAACAAGAUCCAUUAAUUAAAAGUUACUUACACAA
Long non-coding RNA from Gossypium arboreum, 485 nucleotides. RefSeq lists it as uncharacterized. The transcript has 2 exons. Lineage: Eukaryota; Viridiplantae; Streptophyta; Magnoliopsida; Malvales; Malvaceae. The record is from RefSeq and is a predicted model, not a curated record.